AUCAAAGUGAAAGGUCAAGAUU
Molecule: microRNA, 22 nt
Filed under: Gallus gallus (chicken)
Lineage: Eukaryota; Metazoa; Chordata; Aves; Galliformes; Phasianidae
Description: gga-miR-12209-5p
Source: miRBase by way of RNAcentral